UAUAACAAAAAAAAAAGAGAGAGAAAACUCAAAGAAUAUCAUGGAGGUAUCAAGAUUGUUCGACGUAUGACCAUUAUUAGCAGAUAAGAAAAAGAAAUCGAGAGGAAAACGACGAGGCACAACAAGAAUGGAGAAAGAAUCGAGAUGGUGGAAUAUUUCGGUGGAAGGCGACGAGAGAUCGGUCGCUUUUUCUUUCGCCGGUUGUGGGUCGAUCUGGUGCGCCACGUCAGUCGUUGGAAUUAAUUUUGAUAUAAAUACCUCGUUACAUCACGAACUUACUCCAAUUAUGGGAAAGUAGAAUUUUUCUUUUAAAUUUU
Apis dorsata (giant honeybee) is the source of this 317-nucleotide long non-coding RNA. RefSeq lists it as uncharacterized. The transcript has 2 exons. The record is from RefSeq and is a predicted model, not a curated record. NCBI's taxonomy places the organism in Eukaryota, Metazoa, Arthropoda, Insecta, Hymenoptera, Apidae.